RNAcentral lists this long non-coding RNA (224 nucleotides) under Xyrichtys novacula (pearly razorfish). Lineage: Eukaryota; Metazoa; Chordata; Actinopteri; Labriformes; Labridae. The record is from RNAcentral.
AUAAAUAAAAGUUGGUUUUGGAUGUGUGUAGGUAGGCUAUGGUCUCAUGUCCCUUUAAGACGCUGUCCUACGUCAGAGACGAGACUCCGCCCCAUCCAGUCUGUAACAAAGAGGGAAAGACAGGUGAGGAGAUGGAGGACGGAGAGAAAGUUGGAGCGGCUGAAGUAGACGAAGUUAAUGUGGGAGGGGGUGAGCAGGUUGUGGAGUAGUUGUCGUCCAUUUAU